This 119-nucleotide ribosomal RNA is filed under the name Pteropus alecto (black flying fox). Lineage: Eukaryota; Metazoa; Chordata; Mammalia; Chiroptera; Pteropodidae. The record is from RNAcentral.
GUCUACGGCCACGCCCCCCUGAACGAGCCCGACCGCGUCUGAUCUCGGAGGCUCAGCAGAGUCGGGCCUGGUUAGUCCUUGGAUGGGAGACCGCCUAGGAAGACCAGGCGUGGUAGGCA